GGGGGUCAUGGUAGUGCAUCUGCUUGCCAUGCAGAAGGUUACAGGUUCAAUCCCUGCCAUCUCCA
This 65-nucleotide transfer RNA is filed under the name Sphaerodactylus townsendi. RNAcentral's name for it is "tRNA-Gly". The record is from RNAcentral. Lineage: Eukaryota; Metazoa; Chordata; Lepidosauria; Squamata; Sphaerodactylidae.